This 253-nucleotide ribosomal RNA is filed under the name uncultured bacterium. RNAcentral's name for it is "partial 16S ribosomal RNA". It matches the Rfam family "Bacterial small subunit ribosomal RNA", at positions 524 to 776 of the family's 1533-position model. The record is from RNAcentral.
UACGAAGGGGGCUAGCGUUGCUCGGAAUUACUGGGCGUAAAGCGCACGUAGGCGGCUUCUUAAGUCGGAGGUGAAAUCCUGGAGCUCAACUCCAGAACUGCCUUCGAUACUGGGAAGCUCGAGUCCGGGAGAGGUGAGUGGAACUGCGAGUGUAGAGGUGAAAUUCGUAGAUAUUCGCAAGGACACCAGUGGUGAAGGCGGCUCACUGGCCCGGUACUGACGCUGAGGUGCGAAAGCGUGGGGAGCAAACAGG